This 137-nucleotide small RNA is filed under the name Bacillus testis. RNAcentral describes it as "Ribosomal protein L10 leader". It matches the Rfam family "Ribosomal protein L10 leader", at positions 12 to 134 of the family's 138-position model. Rfam says of the family: This family is a putative r-protein leader autoregulatory structure found in B. subtilis and other low-GC Gram-positive bacteria. It is located in the 5' untranslated regions of mRNAs encoding ribosomal proteins L10 and L12 (rplJ-rplL). Lineage: Bacteria; Bacillati; Bacillota; Bacilli; Caryophanales; Bacillaceae. The record is from RNAcentral.
AUACCAUUUGUACCAUAGACAGCAGGGGCUCCAAAAGCUUAAUAUUCCUGCCGAGGUAAUUUCGAUAUAUAUAGUCGAUGACUAUGACUUGGAAUUUACUGCCCUCACGUCUGCAAGAUUUGAGGGUUUUCUUUUUG